This is a long non-coding RNA of Mesocricetus auratus (golden hamster), 562 nucleotides long. RefSeq lists it as uncharacterized. The record is from RefSeq and is a predicted model, not a curated record. Lineage: Eukaryota; Metazoa; Chordata; Mammalia; Rodentia; Cricetidae. The transcript is spliced from 4 exons.
UGGGGGGAUCUGCAUACAAGGAGUGUUGUUCAUGAUUAAACCAAGUGGAAUGGCUCCGUAGGAAGUGAUCCCUACUCCCAUUCACUGGCAGAGUUAGGCUGAGAGGCAAAAGGAGUGGGAGAUGCUAUAACUGGAUUCUUGAUCACCAUUGCUCUUGGAGGAGGGUGAUCCCGUUCCAGGAAGAUGACUGAUUGCUCCUGCUCCAAGGUUAAGCUGCAGGCCCAUCAUGGGACAACUGCUCCAAAUUGAAGGAUUGUGAGACUCCAAUUGCUUGAAGGGAGUCUUGAUCCCUUGUCAUAAAGAUGCUCAUCAGUCCUGUCCUCCCCUGAAUCCAAGAAAUGAAUCUGGGAAGAUAGAAAGGUGAAGGGCAGGAUCUGGGAGAAGCUGAGAGCAGGAGAAACAUGAUCAAAAUAUAUCGUCUGAGAAUGAUUGUUAAGUAAAGAAGAUUUCUACAAGAGCUGCUACUUGACCAUUCUCACAGGAGCAAGAAUAUCUCAGAGUUGCUUUGAUUUGCAUUUCCCUGCUGGGAUAGCCACCUUCUUAAAGAAGACUAUUUUAAACA